GACGAACGCUGGCGGCGUGCUUAACACAUGCAAGUCGAACGAUGAUGGGGAGCUUGCUCCCUGGAUUAGUGGCGAACGGGUGAGUAACACGUGAGUAACCUGCCCUGGACUCUGGGAUAAGCGCUGGAAACGGCGUCUAAUACCGGAUAGGACCUUUCAUCACAUGGUGGGGGGUGGAAAGUUUUUCGGUUUGGGAUGGACUCGCGGCCUAUCAGCUUGUUGGUGAGGUAAUGGCUCACCAAGGCAUCGACGGGUAGCUGGUCUGAGAGGAUGAUCAGCCACACUGGGACUGAGACACGGCCCAGACUCCUACGGGAGGCAGCAGUGGGGAAUCUUGCACAAUGGGCGAAAGCCUGAUGCAGCAACGCCGCGUGCGGGAAGAAGGCCUUAGGGUUGUAAACCGCUUUCAGCAGGGAAGAAAAUGACGGUACCUGCAGAAGAAGGUGCGGCCAACUACGUGCCAGCAGCCGCGGUGACACGUAGGCACCAAGCGUUGUCCGGAUUUAUUGGGCGUAAAGAGCUCGUAGGCGGUUCAGUAAGUCGGGUGUGAAAACUCUGGGCUCAACCCAGAGACGCCACCCGAUACUGCUGUGACUUGAGUACGGUAGGGGAGUGGGGAAUUCCUGGUGUAGCGGUGAAAUGCGCAGAUAUCAGGAGGAACACCAGUGGCGA
Molecule: ribosomal RNA, 672 nt
Filed under: uncultured Actinomycetes bacterium
Lineage: Bacteria; Bacillati; Actinomycetota; Actinomycetes
Description: bacterial SSU rRNA
Rfam family: Bacterial small subunit ribosomal RNA
Source: RNAcentral